AGGUAGCGAAAUUCCUUGUCGGGUAAGUUCCGACCUGCACGAAUGGCGUAACGAUCUCCACACUGUCUCGGCCAGAGACUCGGUGAAAUUGCAGUCGCGGUGAAAAUUCCGUGUACCCGCAGAAAGACGGAAAGACCCUGUGCACCUUUACUAUAGCUUGACAUUGGAUUUUGGGCCUGCAUGUGUAGGAUAGGUGGGAGGCUGUGAACCCUGUACGCCAGUAUGGGGGGAGCCAUCCUUGAAAUACCACCCUUGCAUGUUUAAGAUCCUAACUUCUUCCGGUUAUCCCGGAGAAAGACAGUGUCUGGCGGGUAGUUUGACUGGGGCGGUCGCCUCCUAAAGUGUAACGGAGGCAUGCAAAGGUUCCCUCAGCCUGAUCGGAAACCAGGCGCUGAGUGCAAACGCAUAAGGGAGCUUGACUGUAAGAGAGACAUCUCGAACAGGAACGAAAGUUGGCGUUAGUGAUCCGGUGGUCCCGUAUGGAAGGGCCAUCGCUCAUUGGAUAAAAGGUACGCCGGGGAUAACAGGCUGAUCGCAUCCAAGAGUUCACAUCGACGAUGCGGUUUGGCACCUCGAUGUCGGCUCAUCACAUCCUGGGGCUGAAGCAGGUCCCAAGGGUACGGCUGUUCGCCGUUUAAAGUGGUACGCGAGCUGGGUUUAAAACGUCGUGAGACAGUUUGGUCCCUAUCUUCUGUGGGCGAAGGAGAAUUGAGAGGGCCUGUCCCUAGUACGAGAGGACCGGGAUGGACGUACCCCUGGUGAUCCUGUUGUCGCGCCAGCGGCAUAGCAGGGUAGCUAUGUGCGGAAGGGAUAACCGCUGAAAGCAUCUAAGCGGGAAGCCUGCCUCAAGAUAAGUUCUCCCCUCGAAAGAGCUGAAGGGCCCGGGUAGACUACCCGGUCGAUAGGCUGGAGGUGUAAGCGCGGCGACGUGCUCAGCUGACCAGUACUAAUAGCCCGAGCGGCUUAUUUUU
Molecule: ribosomal RNA, 971 nt
Filed under: human gut metagenome
Description: bacterial LSU rRNA
Rfam family: Bacterial large subunit ribosomal RNA
Source: RNAcentral